This 240-nucleotide ribosomal RNA is filed under the name uncultured Methylobacterium sp. RNAcentral describes it as "partial 16S ribosomal RNA". It matches the Rfam family "Bacterial small subunit ribosomal RNA", at positions 355 to 612 of the family's 1533-position model. The record is from RNAcentral. Lineage: Bacteria; Pseudomonadati; Pseudomonadota; Alphaproteobacteria; Hyphomicrobiales; Methylobacteriaceae.
UGGGGAAUAUUGGACAAUGGGCGCAAGCCUGAUCCAGCCAUGCCGCGUGAGUGAUGAAGGCCUUAGGGUUGUAAAGCUCUUUUGUCCGGGACGAUAAUGACGGUACCGGAAGAAUAAGCCCCGGCUAACUUCGUGCCAGCAGCCGCGGUAAUACGAAGGGGGCUAGCGUUGCUCGGAAUCACUGGGCGUAAAGGGCGCGUAGGCGGCCUUGUAAGUUGGGGGUGAAAGCCCGUGGCUCAA